CAGUAGCCGCGGGAAUACGAAGGGGGCUAGCGUUGUUCGGAAUUACUGGGCGUAAAGCGCACGUAGGCGGAUAUUUAAGUCAGGGGUGAAAUCCCAGAGCUCAACUCUGGAACUGCCUUUGAUACUGGGUAUCUUGAGUAUGGAAGAGGUGAGUGGAAUUCCGAGUGUAGAGGUGAAAUUCGUAGAUAUUCGGAGGAACACCAGUGGCGAAGGCGGCUCACUGGUCCAUUACUGACGCUGAGGUGCGAAAGCGUGGGGAGCAAACAGGAUUAGAUACCCCUGUAGUCCCUGUCUCUUAUAC
This 301-nucleotide ribosomal RNA is filed under the name uncultured bacterium. RNAcentral's name for it is "partial 16S ribosomal RNA". It matches the Rfam family "Bacterial small subunit ribosomal RNA", at positions 509 to 807 of the family's 1533-position model. The record is from RNAcentral.